Molecule: non-coding RNA, 23 nt
Filed under: Mus musculus (house mouse)
Lineage: Eukaryota; Metazoa; Chordata; Mammalia; Rodentia; Muridae
Source: RNAcentral
GACGAUCCUAAUCUUGGGUGGGU